AUGGUCGACCCAGCAGAUCGAGGCCGGGAGGGCGAAGGACUUGGUCGGGAUGCCAAAGUCACAUUCCUGAGGCGACUCGGCAUGCAUCAGACGAGUGCUCCAGGUCCACGACCCGUGGUUGAACUCCAACAGGUCGAUGGCGUAGUGCCCCCGGGCCAAGGUCUUGUGGAGAACGGCGACAAAGAGCCUGUCUUGGCCCGGGCAGCGCAGAAGGCCGAUAGAACCGUCGGUGAGCGGGAUGACCAUGCUGAAGCGGGGGCUCGCGUCGUAGAGGAAGUAGUCGUUCUCUUGGCCGACGGGGACGCGGAGGAGGGCGAGGUUGCCGUGGGUGCGGAGGAGGCGGGGGAGACGGUCGAGCGGGGUGGCAGGUCCUUCCGGGAGGAGGUCGGGGAGGUGGAUGGUAAAGUAAGAAAGGAGUGGCGGGCGCGCGGCCCAGAAGUUGAGCUCGAGGAUGUGGCCGCUGUGGGUGGCGCACAUGCACCGGCUGGUUGA
Molecule: ribosomal RNA, 492 nt
Filed under: Triticum aestivum (bread wheat)
Lineage: Eukaryota; Viridiplantae; Streptophyta; Magnoliopsida; Poales; Poaceae
Description: partial small subunit ribosomal RNA
Source: RNAcentral